Molecule: non-coding RNA, 840 nt
Filed under: Caenorhabditis japonica
Lineage: Eukaryota; Metazoa; Nematoda; Chromadorea; Rhabditida; Rhabditidae
Description: Eukaryotic large subunit ribosomal RNA
Rfam family: Eukaryotic large subunit ribosomal RNA
Source: Rfam by way of RNAcentral
CAACCUGAACUCAGUCGUGAUUACCCGCUGAACUUAAGCAUAUCAUUUAGCGGAGGAAAAGAAACUAAAAAGGAUUCCCCUAGUAACGGCGAGUGAAACGGGAAGAGCCCAGCGCCGAAUCGAUCAGUCUUUGGCUGCUUCGAAAUGUGGCGUAUAGGUGUAGUCUUCCAGCAGUGUCGUAUGUCCGAAGUCCUUGCGAUUGAGGCCAUAAACCAGAGAGGGUGCGAGCCCCGUUCUGGAUAGCGGCGCUGUUGGUUCGACUGCUCCUUGGAGUCGGGUUGCUUGAAAGUGCAGCCUAAAGUGGGUGAUAAACUUCAUCUAAGGCUAAAUAUUGACUCGAUUGCGAUAGCGAACAAGUACCGUGAGGGAAAGUUGCAAAGGACUUUGAAGAGAGAGUUCAAGAGAACGUGAAAUCGCUGGAGUGGAACCGGAGACAGUUGAUGUUGCUUGGAGACAAUCUUGGUGGCUGAUCGCUUAGCUGUGAUCGCCGCCGGGAGUCGUUUCCUAUGCUACGCCGACGGCGUUGGCCGCUCGUUCUGGCCCGACAGUGUUGCCCAUCUCGCAAGAGACGGUGUCUUGUUGUCGGUCGUUGGUUCGUGGUGGCUAGCGUUUAGUUACGCUAGUGUGUGUGACGUCGGUGUGAAAGUCGACGACGUUUCCGACCCGUCUUGAAACACGGAUUACGGAGUGUUUGUCUGCUGCGAGUCAAAGGGUGUAAAAACCUUGCGGCGCAAUGAAAGUGAAGGUUAGUCUCGAACUGACCGACGUGGGAUCCGUGCUCUUCGGAGUGCGGCGCACCACGGCCCUUGCGUGUCACUUGUGACUGUGUAGAGGUUGAGC